UUUCUUUUUCUUUGAUAUUGCUUUCUCCCUUUUGUUUUUGUUUUUUGUUUUUAUCCGACAGCGUGCAACGGAGUCGACGAGAACGUAUCCCUCCCAUACUCUGCGAAUAUUACCGAAACCAUGUGUUGAUUUGUACACAAAAUACAUUCAUAUAUAUAAAUUAUUGUUUCUCAGCUGCGUCGAAGACGUUUAAUAUUGAGCUUCUUCCCUUUCUUGUUCUUUGUCUUGAUUCUUCUUUUCCGGC
Molecule: long non-coding RNA, 244 nt
Filed under: Hordeum vulgare
Lineage: Eukaryota; Viridiplantae; Streptophyta; Magnoliopsida; Poales; Poaceae
Description: long non-coding RNA (HVUL_LNC018121)
Source: RNAcentral